GCACAAGCGGUGGAGCAUGUGGUUAAUUCGAAGCAACGCGAAGAACCUUACCAGGUCUUGACAUCCCCUGACAACCCAAGAGAUUGGGCGUUCCCCCUUCGGGGGACAGGGUGACAGGUGGUGCAUGGUUGUCGUCAGCUCGUGUCGUGAGAUGUUGGGUUAAGUCCCGCAACGAGCGCAACCCUCGCCUCUAGUUGCCAGCAUUCGGUUGGGCACUCUAGAGGGACUGCCGGCGACAAGUCGGAGGAAGGUGGGAUGACGUCAAGUCCUCAUGGCCUUUAUGCUUAGGGCUACACACGUGCUACAAUGGGUGGUACAAAGAGAAGCCAACUCGCGAGAGCGCGCCAAUCUCAAAAAGCCAUCCUCAGUUCGGAUUGGAGUCUGCAACUCGACUCCAUGAAGUUGGAAUCGCUAGUAAUCGCGGAUCAGCAUGCCGCGGUGAAUACGUUCCCGGGCCUU
RNAcentral lists this ribosomal RNA (459 nucleotides) under uncultured Smithella sp. RNAcentral's name for it is "bacterial SSU rRNA". It matches the Rfam family "Bacterial small subunit ribosomal RNA", at positions 923 to 1382 of the family's 1533-position model. Lineage: Bacteria; Pseudomonadati; Thermodesulfobacteriota; Syntrophia; Syntrophales; Smithellaceae. The record is from RNAcentral.